UGUCGUCAGCUCGUGUCGUGAGAUGUUGGGUUAAGUCCCGCAACGAGCGCAACCCUUGUCGUUAGUUGCUACCAUUAAGUUGAGCACUCUAGCGAGACUGCCGCGGUUAACGCGGAGGAAGGUGGGGAUGACGUCAAAUCAUCAUGCCCCUUAUGUCUAGGGCUACACACGUGCUACAAUGGUCGGUACAAUGAGACGCAAUACCGCGAGGUGGAGCAAAGCUUAUAAAACCGAUCCCAGUUCGGAUUGCAGGCUGCAACUCGCCUGCAUGAAGCCGGAGUUGCUAGUAAUCGCGAAUCAGAAUGUCGCGGUGAAUACGUUCCCGGGA
This 328-nucleotide ribosomal RNA is filed under the name uncultured Clostridium sp. RNAcentral describes it as "bacterial SSU rRNA". It matches the Rfam family "Bacterial small subunit ribosomal RNA", at positions 1050 to 1378 of the family's 1533-position model. Lineage: Bacteria; Bacillati; Bacillota; Clostridia; Eubacteriales; Clostridiaceae. The record is from RNAcentral.